GGAUGACUCAGUUGGCAGAGCGUGAGCCUCUUAAUCUUGAAGUCAUGGGUUCAAUCACCACAAUGGGCAACA
Podarcis lilfordi (Lilford's wall lizard) is the source of this 72-nucleotide non-coding RNA. The record is from the annotation of a GenBank genome assembly. Lineage: Eukaryota; Metazoa; Chordata; Lepidosauria; Squamata; Lacertidae.